UCCCGCCUUGGCCUCCUAAAGUGCUGGGAUCACAGGCAUGAGCCACUGUGCCUGGCCUGAUUUAAUUCUUCUUCUUCACCUGAUCCAGUUUUCUCCAUGAAGACUUGAGACCAAGUCACAGUAGGUUUGGACCCAAAUGUAUGCUGCUCCUCUCUCCCCAUGUUCUUUGCUUCUGUUCUUAGCCUGGGGUAAAGUCCUCCUUGUCCUGGGCCAGACAUACUGUCAAGAGAAAGCUUGGUAUUGGACUGACUCCAUUUAAAGAACCUUAUUUUAUGAAUCUGUCCCAGGAAAAUAUAGUAACUCGUUAACAGUUUUGAAUGAUUUGUUCUUUGCUUUUUGGCAAAUUUCAGUUUAUCCUUGCUAGAGGGAAAACAAUAAAAUCCACAAGUAAUUCCCAAUUUUCAACCUAGCCCAGCAAUUUAACCUCCUCACUCACUUUGCCAAGGCUACUAAUAAGUAGCUGUGUGCCUGGCCUGCUUUCCUUCUCUCCUCUCCCUGGUCCUGCCCAUUGGCAGGGAGCCUCUUGUGAGUCAUAAGAUGACCAAGAGAUCACACGGCGAGAGACUGAAAGAAAAGCAGCAAAGCCCUGGGUAAUCAAGGCCCUAAACGGAAAGUGUCAGGAUCUUGGGGAUCGUAUUGUAUAAAAUGGAUGAAAACAGAGCUAUUGGGUUUGAAGCACUCCUGAACCCUCUCAUGGAACCCUAUGUCUUCCUGGAGUCUACAGAGCUAUUGGGUUUGAAGCACUCCUGAACCGUCUAGUAGAACCCUAUGUCUUCCUGGAGUCUACAGAGCUAUUGGGUUUGAAGCACUCCUGAACCGUCUAGUAGAACCCUAUGUCUUCCUGGAGUUUACAGAAAAAGAGACUCAGGGAUUUUCCCAAAGCACACUGCAAGUUAGGGGCAGGAAUGACAGCCCAGACCUUCUGGUUUCCAGUCCAGGGCUCAACUGCCUAAACAGUGGCAUCUCUUCAGGCAGGCCCUGUCAGAGGCAGAUUAGGGGACUUGUCCAAAGUUACUCAACUAUGAAGAGUCAAGAUUCAAAUCCAGAGACAUCUGACUUCAUUUCCCUUCAUUAACAACCAUCUAAGGAAGUUCCUAUUACUUUGGGAACUCCUAGUAGCAGGUGGUUAAAAAAAACUCCUGGACAACAUACUAUGCUAUUUGAAUCAUCCUACUUCUUACGCGUUCCUCCAGGAUGCACUCUUCUCCCAUUCUGAAACUGACAGUUCUCUUUACAAACUGUGUAUGUUUCAUUCCUGGAUUGCAUCUGAGCUGCCGCCAUGGAACGGGCAUUGAGUUUUAGCGUGUGUGAUGUCCCAUGUGUUCAUUUUGUCUCCCCACACUAUAAACUUGAGAGGCAAGGCCAACUCUUUUAUGUCUUCAAAUGCUUUGCUGCCAAACACAGGAUUGGAAAUGGCCAACAAAGACUAAAAUGCUACUUCUCUACCCUUUUCACUAUGCCAUCUACUGGAAAUUUAAGCAAGACUUGCAGAGAUCACUUCAGGUUAUCUGUUCCCCUGCAAGAAACACUUGUGGUUUGGCCUGAAAUAGUUUUCUGCUGAUUCUUUCUCUACAGCCCUGAACCCUAAAAACAAAUGAAAUGCAUCAACACAAUACUAAAUGCCUACAUAUUAUUACUAUUAUGUCUUUAAAAAAAGAGUGAAAGCUUUUUCAUGUUUGCUUUAAAUCAACCAUGUAGAAACUGGAGGGACCAGUGAAGAGGAAUAGAGGGAAUGAACUCAAAUGCUCUAACUUGCAAUAGGACAGUUGGGUUCUUACUUUGACUCACCUGACCUUUACAACCAUUAGCCAGCUCACAUGAUGCCCAAACAAGUUGCUGAGCCUCCUGCCCAUCCUCUGUAUAUAUCCCUGGUUUCCUGUCUCAAGCUUUAGGCUAAUCUCCAUCAACACUGACCUCACAUGAAUACUAAAUGCAGAUGUCUGACCUCAUAUUUCUCUGCCAGUCAGAUCCCUGGCCUCUUUACUACAGACCUUAAGGACCAGUUCUCAAACUCAUCUCAUUGGCAUCUUUUCACAUCACGAAAUCUAUCUGGUCAGGAUUUGAAUAAAACUGUAUUUUUACUUUAAUACAAAAGAGUCAACAUGGGCAGUGACUAAAUAAAGGGGGUGGGGACAGAGUUAACACGAGCCACCUAUGCUGUUACAUAUAUAUAUAUCCCGAUUAAUUUCAGUUGGUGAAGAGGAAGACCCUCGGGCACAGAUUUCAACACUGUGCUGGACUCAGACCCAAAAUCCUUUGACUUAUUUUUAUUUUUUGGGAUGAGGUCUCGCUAUGUUGCCCAGGCUGGAGUACAGUGGCUAUUCAUAGGCACUAUCAUAGUGCAGGGUAGCCUUGAACUCCUGGCCUCAUGAUCCUCCCACCUCAGCCUCCCUAGUGGCUGGUAGCUGGGACUACAGACACAACCAGCCCUCUGACUUAUUUUUACUACUCUGCUGUGAAACUCACCCGAUCUUUACUUUGGCCUUCAUUAUUGAGGCUUCCUUAAAGCAGUGGUUCUCAAAGUACCAGGUCCUGAUCAGCAGCAUCAGCAUCAAUUUGUUAAAAAUACAAAUGCUCUAUGGGGCCCUACCUCAGACUUACUGAAUCAAAACUCCUUAGUCAAGACUUAACUGCUGGUAAGUGACUGAGUUUUUGGUCAAAGGCAUUUCCUUUUAGCACUUGUUCUCUGGGUCCUGAUUUUUCUUUACUUAUUUCAACAGAAUGACCUUUCCCAUUGUAUUCCAUCAGAGAGUGCUAAUUAGAAGCAAAACCACAGCUUAAUUGUCUUUUUUUUUUUUUAACUUCGCAUUCCCAAGUUACACCGUCAUUUUCUUUUUGUGACUAUGCCCUUGAAAAUCUAGGGCAAUAGGUCUGCUCAGUGUUGUUGAUUUUCUUAUCCACAAGACUGGUUUCACUUUAUUAGAACUUUCUAGUUCCAAAAUUAGGCUAUCCUGCUAACUUCCUUCCCACUUGAGUGUUCCACUACAUACAUUCCACAGCCCUUUACACUUGGAAAUACUUUCACACAUUGGCUUGCAGGCUAGAUAGAUUGUCCACCUUUUAUCUGUAAAAGGUAAAACAGAAACUCAGUGAGAUUAAAGCCAUAGCUAUAAAGUAGUGAAGUUUAAAGUUCUGGUACCUACUUCAGUCCCUGACUCAUAACAAGCGCUCAAUAUAUUUAACAAGUAUGUGAAUGACCAUGGAAGCCAGAUCUUUGACUUCUAGGCUGGUUUUCUUUCUCUUUUUUUUUUGAGAUGGAGUCUCGCUCUGUUACCCAGGCUGGAGUGCAGUGGCACGAUCUCGGCUCACUGCAACCUCCGCCUCCCAGGUUCAGGCAAUUCUCCUGCCUCAGCCUCCCAAGCAGCUGGGAUUACAGGUGCACGCCACCAUGCCCAGCUAACUUUUGUAUUUCUAGUAGAAACGGGGUUUCACCAUGUUGGCCAGGCUGGUCUCGAAAUCCUGACCUCAAGUGAUCCGCCUGCCUUGGCCUCCCAAAGUGCUGGGAUUACAGGCAUGAGCCACUGCACCCAGUUUCUGGCUGGUCCUUUCUAUCUCUAGAUCACACAAUCUCUCAUGUUACAUAGUUGUGGGAAUAGACAAGUCUAGCUCCAAAAAGCGUUAAUAAUCUUGUCCCAUUUAUUUUCCUAGCUCCCAAGUUGUGAUGUUGCCACCAGUAUUAGAACACAGUGGUCUCCAAAAUCUUGCCAAUGAAUCCUCCAAGGUGCGUACCAAGUUCCGGAAUAACUGAAAGAACAUCACAUACACAGGCUGGGUACAGUAGCUCACAUCUGUAAUCCCAGCACUUUGGGAGGCCGAGGUGGGAAGACUGCUUAAGGCCAGGAGUUCAAGACCACCCUGGGCAACAUAGUGAGACCUUGUCUCUACCCUCCUCCCCAACCCCCCCCAAAAAAGCACCACCUGUCAAGGAGAAUGGCAUGGCGACAUGGCUGAAACACAGAGCCUUAUCUAAAGACCCACAGGGCUAGAAUGGAGAAAGAACUCUCAGAACAAAUUUCAGAUAGGUAAAAAACCUGGUAAUGUCAGUAGAAAAUGAGAAACAAAUAGUCUGGCUUCCUUCAAGGACUAAAGGACCUGAGUUACUCCCAUACAAUGGUGGAGAGUAGAGCCCACAAGAUUACUGAAUAGCAGAGAUCUUUGCAAUGAAUGCCAGCUUCCAGUACACACUUCCACAGGAAAGUGAAGGUUAAUCUAGCUUAAUUCAGUGCUUUAACUCCUCUAUACCUCUGACAGGAGAAAGAAAACCAGGCUACACUGGAAGUUAAAUCUCAGUUGGACUUAAACUUUUUCUAGUUUUCUUUUUUUUUGGAGACGGAGUUUCACUCUUGUUGCCAGGGCUGGAGUGCAAUGGCACAAUCUCGGCUCACUGCAACCUCCGCCCCCCGGGUUCAAGCAAUUCUCCUGUCUCAGCCUCCCAAGUAGCUGUGAUUACAGGCACCUGCCACCACACUGGCUAAUUUUUUAUUUUUUUUUAUAGAGACGGGGGUUUCACCAUGUUCGCCAGGCUGACCUCAGGUGAUCUGCCCGCCUCGGCCUCCCAAAGUGCUGGGAUUAUAAGCGUGAGCCACCGCACCCGGGACUUUUUCUAGUUUUCAACAUUGUUAUCUAUACAUCCUCAAGUGUAAGCUGUCACAGGAAGAAAAAUGUGUCUUUUUUUUUUUUUUUUUUUUUUUUGAGACAGUCUUGCCCUGUCACCCAGGCUGGAGUGCAGUGGCGUGAUCUCGGCUCACUACAACCUCCACCUCCCGGGUUCAAGCAAUUCUCCUGCCUCAGCUUCCUGAGUAGCUGGGACUACAGGCACCUGCCACCAUGCCUGGCUAAUUUUUGUAUUUUUAGUAGAGACAGGGUUUCACCAUAUUGGCCAGACUGGUCUUGAUCUCCUGACUUUCUGAUCUGCCCACUUCGGCCUCCCAAAGUGCUGGGAUUACAGGUGUGAGCCACCGCGCCCGGCCAAUUAUUUCUUUCUUUCUUUCUUUUUCUUUUUUUUUUUUUUUUUUUGAGACGGAGUCUUGCCCUGUCACCCAGGCUGGAGUGCAGUGGUGCGAUCUUGGCUCACGGCAAGCUCCACCUCCCAGGUUCACGCCACUCUCCUGCCUCAGUCUCCUGAGUAGCUGGGACGACAGAUGCAUGCCACUACGCCUGGCUAAUUUUUGUAUUUUUAGUAGAGGCGGAGUUUCACCAUGUUGGCCAGCUGGUCUCGAACUCCUGACCUCAGGUAUCUGCCUGCCUCGGCCUCCCAAACUGUUGGGAUUACAGACAUGAGCCACCGUGCCUGGCAAAAUGUGUAGUUCUUUUACAUGGGCAAGUUUCUACUAUUAAAAAAAAAAUAACCAUGACAGGGCAUCCUAAGUAGCCUAGUUAGCAGUGGCAGCUACUGCCCUCAGUAGCACGUCAUAAGCAAGAGCAAAGUAAACAUCCAAAUAAAAUGAAUUAAGCCAGCUUGCCACAGCCUAGCAUUGCAAGUCUACAGUAUGCAAUUUCACAUGUCAAAUCAGCAAGAAAAUUCCUAAAGUCUUUAGCUAAAAUUACAGUAAUUAAACAACUCUUUUGAUAAGCACUUGAGUAAGAACCCCAGAUAUUCCUGAAGAAACUGUGUUACAGCUCAAAAGAAUUUAGGAGCCUAGUGUAGUAAGGCCCGUUGUAUUGCCUGACUUUUACUCAGGGCUCAACCCAGUUUCAAGCCUACUUAAUAAUUCGUAUCCCAAGAAAGCCCUUAUUAGCCUCUUUGCUAGCUGAAUAAAUUCUAACUCCACCAUGGCUUCUGUGGAGGCCCAGGCUAUGAUAUGUUGCAGAAAUAGUGUCUGAGGACAAAGAACAGAUAAGAAAGUUAAACUCUGCAUAACCCAUUCAGUAAUGUGUAAUGAAAAUAUCACUCUCAAAAGUGGAAGUCUCCCCUUUCUUCUGAAGGGCAUUAAGGGAUACUCAUGGCUCAGCAAAUUCUGAAGUAGAAAUUGUCACAGUGCUGUAGGUGGAAGAGACUCAACAAUGCCAUCAUGAAAAAAACUUCUGGAAUUAUUCACAACAGUAAAAUUAUGACCAACUUACAGUCCUAGGAGAUGGAUUGCAGAAAUCUUUAAGACCAUCCAUAAGAAAUGGCUUUCAAACUUAUUUGAAAUCAAUUUGACAUCACAACCCACUUUUCAUACAUGUAUAAACUGAAAUUGGUUUCACAAAGUAUUAUUUCCCUUAUAACAUGCUACAUAUUUUCCCUUCUAUUAAAAAAGUUGGCUGUCACCCAUGAAGUUUGUUACCAGUUGGUCAUGACUAGAGGUUAAAAAGCACUGAUCAAUUGCUGUAAUCUUAAAAAAAAAAAAAAAAAGGCAACAUAACACAGUUGCUAAGAGUACUAACUUUGAAGUAGGACUGCCCAGGUUCAAAUCCUGACACCGCUACUUGGCUAUGAAGCCCAAGUCCUAGGUCAUGUCACUAACUUCGGUGCUUCAGUUUCCCCCUCCAGAAAUCAAGAGAAACCUUCUAAUAAAACUUUGUUAUCAAACUGAGUUUUAUUUGUGAGGAUGCCUAAAAAACAUGCCUAUUAAGAAGUGAAGAUGCUGGCCCCAAGAUUCCGUGUAGCUUGCCAGUGAGUGGGAAGAUUGGCCCGGGACCCUGGCUGAUGGCCUUUCCACUAUAUUGCAGCAUUGAGCAUGCAAAUAACAUUGAUUAUAUAAGGGCCUUUGGUGUAAAGCAUGUAAAAUAAAUGUGACAAGCAA
Long non-coding RNA from Homo sapiens (human), 6728 nucleotides. RefSeq lists it as uncharacterized. The record is from RefSeq and is a predicted model, not a curated record. The transcript has 3 exons. NCBI's taxonomy places the organism in Eukaryota, Metazoa, Chordata, Mammalia, Primates, Hominidae.